This 2661-nucleotide long non-coding RNA is filed under the name Homo sapiens (human). RNAcentral describes it as "HSALNT0052312". The record is from RNAcentral. Lineage: Eukaryota; Metazoa; Chordata; Mammalia; Primates; Hominidae.
CUUCGGCUGGGGAGAUCCUUACUCUCCAUGGCCACCAGAUGGCGAAGGCUGCCCGCGGCCCAGAAGAGAGAGGAGCCUGCAGACCCGCGCGGAAACUCUGCUGCGGGACCUGGAGGCCAAGGGUGAGGCGUGGGGUCCUCCUCCACUCCAACUGUGUGGGGAAACCUGGGUAGAACUUAAAGUUACAAAAGUCAUUGUGCAAGCCCUGCUGUCCCCACAAGGGCUUAUAGGAAGGGGUUCGGAGCUUUUCAAGGAGGCAGGGGAAAAUUAAACUCGUGUCUCUUAAUGUGUAUUUGGUGGGAGGGGAAUGCUGCCUGAAAUAAUGCAUUGCUUCGGCGGCGGUCAGAGAUCCAUGUGACGCGGGGGCACUUUAGGGACCAUUGCUGAGGGCCUGGUUAGCAUUUGGGCAGCUGAAUCCUUCCCUUGGCGAACUCCAUACGUGCCCUCGGCGACACACAGAGGACUCCCAGAGUUGAAGAAGGGGGUGGAUGUGUGUGUGCGCACUCGCCCACGUCUCGUGUUUUACUUUUCAUUUAAGUCGUAAUAAGGAGAAAUUCGAUGACCAGCAAGGCUGGAGUCCCAUCGUCUUGUUGGGGGAGAGGGGGGAGAAGAAAAAGGUGCCUGUAACUUCAGACUGUCCAAGAUAUCGCUUAGCUCCUGCGCCCGGAAGAAAAUCCAGCGCAGGUCGGGUUCCGGCGCGCGGAAGCCCUGCGAACCCCAAAUGUGUGCGCUGAGCCGAGGCCUCUAAGCGGUAGGAGAGAAUCUGACCUCCGACAUUCUUUUCAAGACACGCGCCGGUGGACCGGGUCCUGGGAUUGGCUUACUCCCGGGCUGGACCUUGGGGUUCGCAUAUUUGAAAGCGUAAACUUGAGGAAUGACGGCGGGGUGAUGGGUAUUUUAUAGAGUGGGACUCAAUCGUGCUCAGCAACAGAUUUCUCCAAAUUCCCUUUUAAAAAGAGCCUCCCAGAGCUGUCGAAAUCUCCGCGGGGUGAAAGCUAAACUUUUGGAGUCGCUGUGUAGCCGGGUAGAGGACACGGCGGCGCGAGCCGGAAAGGCAGGUUUAAUUCGGAAAGAAGAGACUGCAGAGGAGAGGGAAGACCGUGAGUCUGCUUUCACCUAGGUUUAAAGCGAAUCAAAGACGGCUGUAAAAAGGGAAACCGGGACCAAAAACAGAUUUGGAGCCUCGAAACUCUCCAUUGAAGGUUUGGAAGAUACGUUGCUGCAGACUUGAAACCGGCUCCAAAUCCGGCCCAAACAUGGGCUGAAAAUAUGGCGCGCUAAUCUGCUGCUUCCCCUCCUCCUCAAGUUCUUUCUGACUCUUCCCACCUUUCCCAGUUUCCCUUCCAGACGUCUGCGGCUCCCCACUCCACCCCCAGGAUAGCUACUCUACAUCCCGACAAUUCCCAGCUUCUACACCCAGGAGGAGGAAUUCUGGAACCACCCAGAGCGAACUCGUGCCGGGGCGGGGUGGGGACCGGAGGAAGGUCCUGCUCCGAAUUCUCUCCAGAGCAGAAAAGAAUUCUAGAGGCUACAUGUGGGCUGCUUUCCCCCCUUCUUCCUUUUUUCCCUCGCAAACCAACAACCAAAAAGUGUUUGGUGAUGGAAAGAACACCAGUGGAAAACGGCAAAUAACAGUAUUUCCAACUCCGAGUCAGGUCCUCUUUGCACUGCUUUUUCCUGUUUCAUUGCAAUUUAUUGAUUUUAUUGUGGUUUUUUGUUUAUUUGGGGCAAGAACGGAGAUGUGAACCAGGACGAGCCAGCAGACCCCCGAGCCAGUAUCUCCUCCCUGGGCAGGGAACACCGCCUGCACCGGUGCAUACUAGGAGACCCUGGCGGAGAAUGUAAACAAACCGGGCGCCGAGCCCUUGAUCUUUAUUUAAAUAGAGGCUUGUUUAUCGGUGUCAUCCUAGGAGGAUUAAUUAGAUACAUCUCUUCACAAUUUGGUGUCUGACACUCCAUCUUAGGAAUGCCUUAUCAUAAGGUGUUAAUUGGGGCCACUCAGCCACUUACGUUUCUAUUAAACACUGUGAGGGACUUUUCACAAGUACCAGGUUCUUUUUUACUGUACGAUGCAAAAACAUACAGGACCCGAAAUAGACUAGGGCCAGAAUCUGCUAUAUCCCGGCAGUGAUUAGCACUUUGGGGCUUUCUAGAGGGCAGAAAUAGGAGAGCACUGUUUUCGAAAUUCCAUCGCAUCUCCCAAUAUUCGGUGGUUGGAUGCAGAUGUAAGGGGGCUGUUGGGGGUGUGGGGAAGGCGCUGACCAGGAUAGGGGGGCUAUGAGUCUCCCUUCCGGAAUCUAAAUCAGUCAUCCACAGUACAUAUAUCUUAAAAAGCACAUCUUCAACGCUUUUGUCCUUGGCUCCCCGGUAAAGUUCGGGGCGCCUUUGCCAAAGUGUUUUGAGUAGGCCGUUCGGAAACGCGGAGCAGGAGUUCGAGCCCCCAAGGUCACGGGUGGCGCGGGAAGAACUCGGGCCCCAGAGGGACGGAGGGGAAGGGAGACAGGACAGUCGAGGUACAAGGUCCUGGCGGCCUUAAUUGGGCGCAGAAGGGGAGGAGGUCUCGGCUGAUUGCUCGCCUCCCAGCAGCUAAUCCUCUUAGCAGCUGCAUUUCCGCGCUACACAGUUAGCAGAAUGAUCCUCCCAGCUAGACCUUUACCCCGG